AAGAUGCCAUUUCAUCCUGUGCAUGGGAA
This 29-nucleotide non-coding RNA is filed under the name Homo sapiens (human). Lineage: Eukaryota; Metazoa; Chordata; Mammalia; Primates; Hominidae. The record is from RNAcentral.